CGUUUGUGGAUCUAUACGGCUUUAAUGUUUGCCAGUUCUCACUCUGGACUGGGCGAGAAAAUGGGAAUGGCCAAUUACUGCAAAUGCCCAAUUAAGAAGCAUAUUUUUCGUGGAAGAAAACCCUAAGACUAACGGAGGAACUGAACUGAUCUAAACGCUUUGGUUAUGGACCAAAUAAUGGAAAAUAACAUCAAACUAAUGUCUUCUAAUGGAGCGUUAUGAAAAAAUUACAAGAAAAUAUGAGAAUACUGGCUUAUUCUCAUAUUAUAUUAAACUAGUUGCUGUCUUUAAGAAUCACGUUUUUAAAGUGUUGUGCCAUAAAAAUCUAUAAAAGCUAUAUUUAAGCCUUCAUUGAAUCCAAUCUAUAUCAAAAUUCUGUCACUAACGACAAAGAUGAUGAUUAAUAAACUAAAGUUGCACAAUUGCCUAAA
Drosophila willistoni is the source of this 431-nucleotide long non-coding RNA. RefSeq lists it as uncharacterized. The transcript is spliced from 3 exons. Lineage: Eukaryota; Metazoa; Arthropoda; Insecta; Diptera; Drosophilidae. The record is from RefSeq and is a predicted model, not a curated record.